AAUUCGAUGCAACGACGAAAACCUUACCACCUUGACAUGUACGGAAUCCUUAGAGAUAGAGGAGUGCUCGAAAGAGAGCCGUAACACAGGUGCUGCAUGGCUGUCGUCAGCUCGUGUCGUGAGAUGUUGGGUUAAGUCCCGCAACGAGCGCAACCCUUGUCAUUAGUUGCUACAUUCAGUUGGGCACUCUAAUGAGACUGCCGGUGACAAACCCGGAGGAAAGGUGGGGAUGACGUCAAGUCCUCAUGGCCCUUAUAGGUGGGGCUACACACGUCAUACAAUGGAUGGUACAGAGGGUCGCCAACCCGCGAGGGGGAGCCAAUCCCAUAAAGCCAUUCGUAGUCCGGAUCGCAGUCUGCAACUCGACUGCGUGAAGUCGGAAUCGCUAGUAAUCGUGGAUCAGAAUGUCACGGUGAAUACGUUCCCGGGUCUU
Molecule: ribosomal RNA, 433 nt
Filed under: uncultured Acidovorax sp.
Lineage: Bacteria; Pseudomonadati; Pseudomonadota; Betaproteobacteria; Burkholderiales; Comamonadaceae
Description: bacterial SSU rRNA
Rfam family: Bacterial small subunit ribosomal RNA
Source: RNAcentral